Non-coding RNA from Aedes albopictus (Asian tiger mosquito), 58 nucleotides. Lineage: Eukaryota; Metazoa; Arthropoda; Insecta; Diptera; Culicidae. The record is from Rfam.
UAGCCUAGUGUUCAAGGCUAUGGAUCGCCAAUCCGGAGAUGGCGGGUUCGACUCCCGU